ACAAGACGGUGGAGCAUGUGGUUUAAUUCGAAGCAACGCGAAGAACCUUACCAGGUCUUGACAUCCCGAUGCUAUUUCUAGAGAUAGAAAGUUACUUCGGUACAUCGGUGACAGGUGGUGCAUGGUUGUCGUCAGCUCGUGUCGUGAGAUGUUGGGUUAAGUCCCGCAACGAGCGCAACCCCUAUUGUUAGUUGCCAUCAUUCAGUUGGGCACUCUAGCGAGACUGCCGGUAAUAAACCGGAGGAAGUGGGAUGACGUCAAAUCAUCAUGCCCCUUAUGACCUGGGCUACACACGUGCUACAAUGGUUGGUACAACGAGUUGCGAGUCGGUGACGGCGAGCUAAUCUCUUAAAGCCAAUCUCAGUUCGGAUUGUAGGCUGCAACUCGCCUACAUGAAGUCGGAAUCGCUAGUAAUCGCGGAUCAGCACGCCGCGGUGAAUACGUUCCCGGGCCUU
Molecule: ribosomal RNA, 455 nt
Filed under: uncultured Streptococcus sp.
Lineage: Bacteria; Bacillati; Bacillota; Bacilli; Lactobacillales; Streptococcaceae
Description: bacterial SSU rRNA
Rfam family: Bacterial small subunit ribosomal RNA
Source: RNAcentral